Molecule: ribosomal RNA, 492 nt
Filed under: uncultured bacterium
Lineage: Bacteria
Description: partial 16S ribosomal RNA
Rfam family: Bacterial small subunit ribosomal RNA
Source: RNAcentral
AGUGAACGCUGGCGGUAGGCCUAACACAUGCAAGUCGAACGGCAGCACAGUAAGAGCUUGCUCUUACGGGUGGCGAGUGGCGGACGGGUGAGGAGUACAUCGGAAUCUACUUUUUCGUGGGGGAUAACGUAGGGAAACUUACGCUAAUACCGCAUACGACCUACGGGUGAAAGCAGGGGAUCUUCGGACCUUGCGCGAUUGAAUGAGCCGAUGUCGGAUUAGCUAGUUGGCGGGGUAAAGGCCCACCAAGGCGGCGAUCCGUAGCUGGUCUGAGAGGAUGAUCAGCCACACUGGAACUGAGACACGGUCCAGACUCCUACGGGAGGCAGCAGUGGGGAAUAUUGGACAAUGGGAGCAAGCCUGAUCCAGCCAUACCGCGUGGGUGAAGAAGGCCUUCGGGUUGUAAAGCCCUUUUGUUGGGAAAGAAAAGCAGCAGGUUAAUACCCCGCUGUUCUGACGGUACCCAAAGAAUAAGCACCGGCUAACUUCGUG